Molecule: unclassified non-coding RNA, 474 nt
Filed under: Tetrapterys mucronata
Lineage: Eukaryota; Viridiplantae; Streptophyta; Magnoliopsida; Malpighiales; Malpighiaceae
Description: partial contains external transcribed spacer and 18S ribosomal RNA
Source: RNAcentral
CAUGAGUUAUGGGCUCGGUGCUUUUGCAUCGACUACUAGACUACAUCCUUUUCAAGGCUCGAGCGUUGUUUUCCCUGCUUGAUGGACGAAUGUGUUCCUGUGUUGGAUACCCAUGUCGGGGGAACUAGGCUUCACAUCUUCGUAGUCCUCUUGAUGCCUCUUAUGGGCAUCGAGUGGAGCUCGUAGUUUGAUCUUUCAAACCUAGCAUGCCUAUUUGGUUGCGAUGGUUGUUCGAUCAAAGCUUGUGUUCUCGGAUGCAGAAUAUUCAAUGGGGCCAGGGAUUGUAUCCUUGCCUAUGCCCUGGGUGGGAAAUUGUCCCUUUAUAAAAACGAAGUUCCCUGUUUUCCCGAAUCCUCCCAAGCUCCCUCCAACUGGAAAAGCUUCCUGGAAGCAUCCACCUCCUCCAAGGAAUGGUACCUGGUUGAACCUGCCCAUAAUCAUAUGCUUGUCUCAAAAAUUAAACCCUGGCUGGGG